GGCUUAUUGAUAAGGAUUUUAAGUCUAGCCUGCCCCCUGAAAUAUUUAAAUGGCCGCAGUAUUUUGACUGUGCUAAGGUAGCAUAAUAAUUAGUUUUUUAAUUGAAAGCUGGUAUGAAUGGUAUAAUGAGAAAAUUACUGUCUCUUUUAAAAAAUUAAAAUUUUAUUUUUAAGUUAAAAAGCUUAAAUAUUAAUAAAAGACGAGAAGACCCUAUAGAAUUUUAUUUAAUUUUAUUUUUAAUAAUAAAGUAUCUAAAAUUUAAAUAUAAACUUAUAUUUAGUUGGGGUGAUUAGAAAAAUUAAAUAUCUUUUUUUUAUAAUAACAUUGAUUUAUGAUUAUAUGAUUCAUAUUAGUGAUUUAAGAAUAAAUUACCUUAGGGAUAACAGCGUAAUUUUUUUUUAGAGUUCAAAUCAAAAAGAAAGAUUGCGACCUCGAUGUUGGAUUAAAAUUUAUUUUUGGUGUAGUUGCUGAAAUAUUAAGUCUGUUCGACUUUAAAAAUUUUACA
Molecule: ribosomal RNA, 505 nt
Filed under: Plateumaris rufa
Lineage: Eukaryota; Metazoa; Arthropoda; Insecta; Coleoptera; Chrysomelidae
Description: partial 16S ribosomal RNA
Rfam family: Bacterial large subunit ribosomal RNA (bases 379-505)
Source: RNAcentral